Non-coding RNA from Oryza nivara, 208 nucleotides. The record is from Rfam. Lineage: Eukaryota; Viridiplantae; Streptophyta; Magnoliopsida; Poales; Poaceae.
AAAAAAAGCAACCCUGGGUUUCCAUGCCAACAUUUGACUGUCCGUCUUAUAUGAAAUUUUUUUAUAAUUAAUAUUUUCAUUGUUGUUAGAUGAUAAAACAUAAUUAAUACUUUAUGCGUGACUUAUUUUUUUAAAAUUUUUUUAUAUUUUUUUCAAAUAAGACGGACGGUCAAAACGUUAGAAACGGAAACUAGUGUUUGUCUUUUUU